ACUUAAAUUGAAGAGUUUGAUCAUGGCUCAGAUUGAACGCUGGCGGCAGGCCUAACACAUGCAAGUCGAGCGGUAGCACAGAGAGCUUGCUCUCGGGUGACGAGCGGCGGACGGGUGAGUAAUGUCUGGGAAACUGCCUGAUGGAGGGGGAUAACUACUGGAAACGGUAGCUAAUACCGCAUAAUGUCGCAAGACCAAAGUGGGGGACCUUCGGGCUCAUGCCAUCAGAUGUGCCCAGAUGGGAUUAGCUAGUAGGUGGGGUAACGGCUCACCUAGGCGACGAUCCCUAGCUGGUCUGAGAGGAUGACCAGCCACACUGGAACUGACGACUACGGUCCAGACUCUACGGGAGGCAGCAGUGGGAAAU
Molecule: ribosomal RNA, 367 nt
Filed under: Klebsiella pneumoniae subsp. pneumoniae Ecl8
Lineage: Bacteria; Pseudomonadati; Pseudomonadota; Gammaproteobacteria; Enterobacterales; Enterobacteriaceae
Description: 16S ribosomal RNA
Rfam family: Bacterial small subunit ribosomal RNA
Source: RNAcentral